CCCUAAGAUGAGAAUUCCCAUGGCGUAAGCAGUAAGACUCCUGAAAGAACAUCAGGUUGAUAGGUUAGGGGUGUAAGCAUGGUAACAUGUUUAGCUGACUAAUACUAAUAAGUCGAGGGCUUGACCUA
This 128-nucleotide non-coding RNA is filed under the name Clostridium sp. BL8. RNAcentral's name for it is "Bacterial large subunit ribosomal RNA". It matches the Rfam family "Bacterial large subunit ribosomal RNA", at positions 2797 to 2925 of the family's 2925-position model. Lineage: Bacteria; Bacillati; Bacillota; Clostridia; Eubacteriales; Clostridiaceae. The record is from Rfam by way of RNAcentral.